Molecule: ribosomal RNA, 433 nt
Filed under: uncultured bacterium
Lineage: Bacteria
Description: partial 16S ribosomal RNA
Rfam family: Bacterial small subunit ribosomal RNA
Source: RNAcentral
AACGAACGCUGGCGGCAUGCCUAACACAUGCAAGUCGAACGAGACCUUCGGGUCUAGUGGCGCACGGGUGCGUAACGCGUGGGAACCUGCCCUUAGGUUCGGAAUAACUCCCCGAAAGGGGUGCUAAUACCGGAUAAUGUCUUCGGACCAAAGAUUUAUCGCCUUUGGAUGGGCCCGCGUUGGAUUAGCUAGUUGGUAGGGUAAAAGCCUACCAAGGCGACGAUCCAUAGCUGGUCUGAGAGGAUGAUCAGCCACACUGGGACUGAGACACGGCCCAGACUCCUACGGGAGGCAGCAGUGGGGAAUAUUGGACAAUGGGCGAAAGCCUGAUCCAGCAAUGCCGCGUGAGUGAUGAAGGCCUUAGGGUUGGAAAGCUCUCUUACCCGGGAUGAUAAUGACAGUACCGGGAGAAUAAGCUCCGGCUAACUCCGUG